AUUGAACGCUGGCGGCAUGCCUUACACAUGCAAGUCGAACGGUAACAGGUCUUCGGUUGCUGUCGAGUGGCGAACGGGUGCGUAAUACAUCCGAACGUGCCCGAUCGUUGGGAUAAAGGGGCCAAAACUUUUCUUAAUACCCAAUACGAUCUACGAUUAAAAGCCGGGGUUUUCCGAACUCCGCGCGGCCGUUGCGGCCGAUGGUAGAUUAGGUAGUUGGUGGGAUAAAAGCUUACCAAGCCGACGAUUUGUAGCUGGUCUGAGAGGAUGAUCAGCCACACUGGGACUGAGACACGGCCCAGACUCCUACGGGAGGCAGCAGUGGGGAAUUUUGGACAAUGGGCGAAAGCCUGAUCCAGCCAUGCCGCGUGAAGGAUGAAGGCCUUCGGGUUGUAAACUGCUUUUGUACGGAACGAAAAGCCUCUUUCUAAUAAAGAGGGGUCAUGACGGUACCGUAAGAAUAAGCACCGGCUAACUACGUG
This 482-nucleotide ribosomal RNA is filed under the name uncultured bacterium. RNAcentral's name for it is "partial 16S ribosomal RNA". It matches the Rfam family "Bacterial small subunit ribosomal RNA", at positions 30 to 507 of the family's 1533-position model. The record is from RNAcentral.